AUUGAACGCUGGCGGCAUGCUUUACACAUGCAAGUCGAACGGUAACAGGCCUUCGGGUGCUGACGAGUGGCGAACGGGUGAGUAAUGCAUCGGAACGUGCCCAGAGGUGGGGGAUAACGCAGCGAAAGCUGUGCUAAUACCGCAUGUGAUCUGAGGAUGAAAGCGGGGGACCAGGCAGCAAUGUUUGGCCUCGCGCCUUUGGAGCGGCCGAUGUCAGAUUAGGUAGUUGGUGGGGUAAAGGCCUACCAAGCCGACGAUCUGUAGCUGAUCUGAGAGGACGACCAGCCACACUGGGACUGAGACACGGCCCAGACUCCUACGGGAGGCAGCAGUGGGGAAUUUUGGACAAUGGGCGCAAGCCUGAUCCAGCAAUGCCGCGUGCGGGAAGAAGGCCUUCGGGUUGUAAACCGCUUUUGUACGGAACGAAAAGGCUCUGGCUAAUACCUGGGGCUGAUGACGGUACCGUAAGAAUAAGCACCGGCUAACUACGUG
This 492-nucleotide ribosomal RNA is filed under the name uncultured bacterium. Its description in RNAcentral is "partial 16S ribosomal RNA". It matches the Rfam family "Bacterial small subunit ribosomal RNA", at positions 30 to 507 of the family's 1533-position model. The record is from RNAcentral.